GACGUAGGGCGCGAGCGUUGUCCGGAUUUAUUGGGCGUAAAGAGCUCGUAGGCGGCUUGUUGCGUCGACUGUGAAAGACCGGGGCUCAACUCCGGUUCUGCAGUGGGUACGGGCAGACUAGAGUGCAGUAGGGGAGACUGGAAUUCCUGGUGUAGCGGUGAAAUGCGCAGAUAUCAGGAGGAACACCGAUGGCGAAGGCAGGUCUCUGGGCUGUAACUGACGCUGAGGAGCGAAAGCAUGGGGAGCGAACAGG
This 253-nucleotide ribosomal RNA is filed under the name uncultured bacterium. RNAcentral's name for it is "partial 16S ribosomal RNA". It matches the Rfam family "Bacterial small subunit ribosomal RNA", at positions 524 to 776 of the family's 1533-position model. The record is from RNAcentral.